GAGGCAAGAUACGACGGCAGGCGGUGUCCAGGAGCCGAGUGAGUUGCACUAGUGGUGCUCAUGAGGUGAAACAUGCAAGACAUGUGUUGUCUUGAAGUUGGAUGUGUGGUGCGAGAGAUGCCCACGAAGUGAGGAAGGUGUGCGAGCUGCUAAGGAAUGACUCAAGGAAGAAGUGUGAAUGCCAACUUAGUCUCGGUACACGGUCAUGCUACUUACUAUCGACGUGCGGGAUGC
This 234-nucleotide long non-coding RNA is filed under the name Rosa chinensis. Its description in RNAcentral is "sRNA RchiOBHm_Chr2g0141011". Lineage: Eukaryota; Viridiplantae; Streptophyta; Magnoliopsida; Rosales; Rosaceae. The record is from RNAcentral.